GGCUCAGAAUGAACGCUAGCGGCAGGCCUAACACAUGCAAGUCGAACGGUAACAGGGAUUGCUUGCAAUCCGCUGACGAGUGGCGCACGGGUGCGUAACGCGUAUAGAACCUACCCUUUACAGGGGGAUAGCCCGGAGAAAUCCGGAUUAAUACCCCGUAGUACUGAUUUAUGGCAUCAUAUGAUCAGUUAAAGCUUCGGCGGUAGAGGAUGGCUAUGCGUCCUAUUAGUUAGUAGGUGAGGUAACGGCUCACCUAGACAGCGAUAGGUAGGGGCCCUGAGAGGGGGAUCCCCCACACUGGUACUGAGACACGGACCAGACUCCUACGGGAGGCAGCAGUGAGGAAUAUUGGACAAUGGGUGAGAGCCUGAUCCAGCCAAGCCGCGUGCAGGAAGACAGCCCUACGGGUUGUAAACUGCUUUUAUACGGGAAGAAUAAGGGGCACGUGUGCCCUGAUGACGGUACCGUAAGAAUAAGGACCGGCUAACUCCGUGCCAGCAGCCGCGGUAAUACGGAGGGUCCGAGCGUUAUCCGGAAUUAUUGGGCUUAAAGGGUCCGCAGGCGGGCCAGUAAGUCAGAGGUGAAAGUUUGCGGCUCAACCGUAAAAUUGCCUUUGAUACUGCUGGUCUUGAGUUGUAGUGAAGUGGCUGGAAUAUGUGGUGUAGCGGUGAAAUGCAUAGAUAUCACAUAGAACACCGAUUGCGAAGGCAGGUCACUAACUACAUACUGACGCUGAUGGACGAAAGCGUGGGGAGCGAAC
RNAcentral lists this ribosomal RNA (760 nucleotides) under uncultured Flavobacteriaceae bacterium. RNAcentral describes it as "bacterial SSU rRNA". It matches the Rfam family "Bacterial small subunit ribosomal RNA", at positions 21 to 773 of the family's 1533-position model. The record is from RNAcentral. Lineage: Bacteria; Pseudomonadati; Bacteroidota; Flavobacteriia; Flavobacteriales; Flavobacteriaceae.